UAAAAUUUAUAAAAUUAGGUAGUAAAGAAGUUUCUGAAACCUAAAGAAUUUGGCGGUACUUUAAAUAAUUGGAGGAACCUGUUAUUUAAUUGACAAUCCACAACAAAUCUUUCCUAAAUUUUAUUUGUAUAUCGUCGUUUUGAUAAUAUUUAAAAGUUAUAAUCAAUUACAAUAAAUUUUUAAAAAUCAGAUCAAGGUGCAGUAUAUUUAGGGUAUAAUGGGUUACAAUAUAAUUAUAUAGACGAAUGUAAAUUUGAAAAUAUAUUGAAGGUGGAUUCAAAAGUAAUAUUAAAAUAAAAUGUUAAUUUGAUUUAUAAUUUAAAAUAUGC
Molecule: ribosomal RNA, 329 nt
Filed under: Maaykuyak waueri
Lineage: Eukaryota; Metazoa; Arthropoda; Arachnida; Scorpiones; Vaejovidae
Description: partial 12S ribosomal RNA
Source: RNAcentral